Molecule: long non-coding RNA, 394 nt
Filed under: Mus musculus (house mouse)
Lineage: Eukaryota; Metazoa; Chordata; Mammalia; Rodentia; Muridae
Description: predicted gene, 49469
Source: RNAcentral
AGAAGCAGGGAGCUCUGUUUGCAUCAAGUCAGAUAAAAGGUUUUAACGGCAAUGAAGCACUGGACUUUUCAGAUUUAUCGGAUGUUUCUCUUGAGAUAGUCGUUUAAUUUCCCAGAGGAGCUGCCCUCAGAUUCCAUCCUGGAUACUUCAAAGUCUAUUUUGCCUCAUCAGUGAGGAGUUCACAUCACUCUGUGAUCAAGGACAGGAUCUUCCUUCUCACUGACCCAGGUAUCAUUGAGGAGGUGGAAAGUGUCCAAGAGCAGAGCUACACAGAAACUGUUCUUCAGACACCUCAGCAACAUAGGAGCUCAAGUUGAUCACGACAGGAUGCAUAAGGCCCAUGUAAGCUCAAAGCAGACAAAAUCCCAACAUGAAGAGACACCCUAUCCUCAAG